Molecule: long non-coding RNA, 1583 nt
Organism: Prunus persica (peach)
Lineage: Eukaryota; Viridiplantae; Streptophyta; Magnoliopsida; Rosales; Rosaceae
Exons: 2
Source: RefSeq, a predicted model, not a curated record
ACAUCAGCAAACCAGAAGCUACUUAGAGCAAAACUAAGCAUAACAACUAGAAUAUUAAACUUAAGGCUGAAUUUGAAGCUACUCAUUCCCAAGGAUUCUGAUCAAAGCAUGAAAAUUUAUUAGCUAUGCUAGGAAAACUACCACUAGAACUAGAAUAAUAACAAUUGCACAUAAAUGGGAUUGAAUCCCUCAACAAAUUAGACCCAGAACUGUUGUACAAAUUCUGGGUUUCAACUGUCAACUAUACAAAUCCAAUGGAACAACAACACAGCUAAAAGAUCAUAAUUUUACAACAAAAAAUAAAGAUUGAACCUUCAAAACAGAUUAACUUGAUAAUGAGCAACAAAUCAUCAUGAUUAGCUACUCAACUUGUUGGUAGAAGAGCCAAAGGCCUUGUCAAUGGAGUCAACAAUCUUUUGCUGGGAUUGCAGAAUCAUAUCAAUCCUCCUCUUCUCCAUCUCCAAUCUACGUCUCUCUGUUUCCUUCAUGAACUCCAUCCUCGUGUUCUCAACCCCAAUGAACCUUUUCGCAAAAGCCCUAAUUUCGUCUGCUAAUUCCACAGCCAUCUCUCCCCCCAUCUGGGGCGGCUCCACCACAUAGCCAUUGUAGCCACCGCCACCGUCCACCGCGUCUCUCGAUCUCUUGGCUGCGGCUGUGUCCUGCCAAAACGAGGCUUGUCCUCCAGAAAACCUAUUCACAAUCGUGGGCCUCCGUAGUAUGUAAUCAAUACUCCGCACCUUACUGGAAUUCUCCUCAUCAUCAUCCUCACCGUCAACAUCAACGCCAUGACGAUCAUGACGCUGCUCUUCUUCUUCUUCUUCUUCUUCUGGCUGACAUGGCAUCACAGCCAUGGGUCUGGAGGAGAUGGGCAUGGGACCGCGCUCCAAGCUCUCCAUGAGCUCGAAGAAGGGCCAACGCGACCUCGACCCGGGCCGGAGGCGCUUCUUCAGUGUACGGUGCCGUUGCCGGAGCUUCUCCAUCUUAUGACGGCACUGAGUGGCGGUCUUGGACUGCUCGGCGUGCUCGUAGCCGCAUCGAGCUGCCACCGUCACCGCCACCUCCUCCCAUUGACUCGACUUGAGCGGACCUCUUCUCAGCUUGUACCACUUUUCCUGGUAGGCCCGGAUCAUCUGCACCGUCUCUUCGUGCGUCCAUGGCAGAGGCUGGGCCUUCUUGGUGGAGACUGGCGAGGCAGGGACCGAGGCCGAGGCUGAGGCCGUGGGCGAGGGCGGGGGUGGUGUGGACAUUGUUCUGAUGUCUAGGGUUAGGGAUUUGGAAUUUUAGGGUUAGGGUUUGAUUGGAAUUUGGGGUUUUUGUGUUGAGUUUUGUGGAGGUGGUGGUGGCGGUGACGGUGGUGGUUAUGGUUGAGAGAGGGUUGAUUUUGGGUGGGGGCCUUUUAAGUUUAGGUCAAUGGAUCCGAACCCGUAUUUGACAUUUUAAAAAGACUAUUUGGGCUUUAUUUGUACGGAAAGACCCGCAAUUCGAACCCGAAGUUAAACAAGUGCAACGUCAAAUGAUUGAAUUUUUUUUUUUCCAAGGUCAAAUGAUUGAAUUGGAUUGGAUAUAUAAUAUGAUUCAAGUUC